ACCUGAUGCUGCCCCUGCGGUCUGCCGUGCGCGG
This 34-nucleotide non-coding RNA is filed under the name Geobacter metallireducens GS-15. Lineage: Bacteria; Pseudomonadati; Thermodesulfobacteriota; Desulfuromonadia; Geobacterales; Geobacteraceae. The record is from RNAcentral.